GCCCGGGUGGUGAAAUUGGUAGACGCAGGGGACUCAAAAUCCCCCGCCGCAAGGCGUGCCGGUUCGAUUCCGCCCCGGGCACCA
RNAcentral lists this transfer RNA (84 nucleotides) under Alcaligenes sp. HPC1271. Its description in RNAcentral is "tRNA-Leu". It matches the Rfam family "tRNA". Rfam says of the family: Transfer RNA (tRNA) molecules are approximately 80 nucleotides in length. The record is from RNAcentral. Lineage: Bacteria; Pseudomonadati; Pseudomonadota; Betaproteobacteria; Burkholderiales; Alcaligenaceae.